Molecule: ribosomal RNA, 256 nt
Filed under: uncultured bacterium
Lineage: Bacteria
Description: partial 16S ribosomal RNA
Rfam family: Bacterial small subunit ribosomal RNA
Source: RNAcentral
UACGUAGGGUGCAAGCGUUGUCCGGAAUUAUUGGGCGUAAAGAGCUCGUAGGUGGCCUGUCGCGUCGGCUGUGAAAAACUCGGGGCUCAACUCCGAGCUUGCAGUCGAUACGGGGCAGGCUAGAGUUCGGCAGGGGGAGACUGGAAUUCCUGGUGUAGCGGUGAAAUGCGCAGAUAUCAGGAGGAACACCGGUGGCGAAGGCGGGUCUCUGGGCCGAUACUGACACUGAGGAGCGAAAGCGUGGGGAGCGAACAGG